UACAGAGGGUGCAAACGUUGCUCGGAAUUACUGGGCGUAAAGCGCGUGUAGGUGGAUUGGUGUGUCAGAUGUGAAAUCCCUGGGCUCAACCCAGGAACUGCACCUGAAACUACCAGUCUUGAGUGGUGGAGAGGGAAGUGGAAUUCCUGGUGUAGAGGUGAAAUUCGUAGAUAUCAGGAGGAACACCAGUGGCGAAGGCGGCUUCCUGGACACCAACUGACGCUGAGACGCGAAAGCGUGGGGAGCAAACAGG
Molecule: ribosomal RNA, 253 nt
Filed under: uncultured bacterium
Lineage: Bacteria
Description: partial 16S ribosomal RNA
Rfam family: Bacterial small subunit ribosomal RNA
Source: RNAcentral